AUUGAACGCUGGCGGCAUGCUUUAUACAUGCAAGUCGAACGGUAACAGGCCGCAAGGUGCUGACGAGUGGCGUACGGGUGAGUAAUGCAUCGGAACGUGCCCAGUCGUGGGGGAUAACUACUCGAAAGAGUAGCUAAUACCGCAUACGAUCUAUGGAUGAAAGCGGGGGACCGUAAGGCCUCGCGCGAUUGGAGCGGCCGAUGUCAGAUUAGGUAGUUGGUGGGGUAAAGGCUCACCAAGCCAACGAUCUGUAGCUGGUCUGAGAGGACGACCAGCCACACUGGGACUGAGACACGGCCCAGACUCCUACGGGAGGCAGCAGUGGGGAAUUUUGGACAAUGGGCGCAAGCCUGAUCCAGCAAUGCCGCGUGCAGGAAGAAGGCCUUCGGGUUGUAAACUGCUUUUGUACGGAACGAAACGGCUCUGGUUAAUACCCGGGGCUAAUGACGGUACCGUAAGAAUAAGCACCGGCUAACUACGUG
Molecule: ribosomal RNA, 482 nt
Filed under: uncultured bacterium
Lineage: Bacteria
Description: partial 16S ribosomal RNA
Rfam family: Bacterial small subunit ribosomal RNA
Source: RNAcentral